AACACUUCGAGACUAUUUUUAUAAAAGAAUAAAUUAAGGAAAAUGCCAAAAGAACAUAAUGGUUGACACAAAGGAUGUCACCACACUCACAGUCGAUGUGUGGGUUCCGCGCGAAUAAAAUAAUCUCGACCUCCCACGUGAGUGUAUUGUGUCAACCAAUGUGUCAAACUUUGUGGUAAUGUCGCAUGAUUGAUAAAUUAAUGAAAAUGAAAAAGACCUCGGGGCGUUAUAUCUUGGACACAAGACUCGUUGACAACGAAUUAUUUACUUCUAAAGAAAAUAGUAUAUACAAGUCAUCUGUUUGUUCAGCUCGGUGAAGUUAAGUCGCGUUAGUUGAACGACUAUACCAACACCAGGAAGUAGGAACACUUUCCAGCACAAGACUAUAAGUUGAUUGUGCAUUACCAACAUUUGUCAUUGUCCUUGAAUCCUCCCAAGCAGCCCUUCCAAGUUCAAUAGAAAAUGUGGGAUAAUUCAACAGAGCUACUGGUGAACCUGUAAAUUCUGAUCCAUGGCAGUUUAUAGAACGCUGCAUAAUGACAAAUAUCUGUGUUAUGUGCUAUGAUGCUUGGAAUUUUCAAAAAUUUCUGAUGGUCGUCGCAACAGAUCCUUUUUCUUCGUCAUUUUCACCUUCUUUAUCCUCGUCCCCAAAGUGUAGAAUUGAGAUCCAAAAGCAGAGAGACCAAAAAGCAUAGCACGAAGAGAGAGAGAGACUUUACAGUGGAUAUAUUUUGGGAAAGUAAUGGAAACAAGUCUUUUUUGGGGUAAACAAUAUUGAACCAGUUAUAAACAAAUCUAAUGUGAAAAAAUGAACAGUGCAGUGCCAUCCUCUCUUUUAAGGGAGUGUAGGAUAUAUAAAUUAAAAUGAAAAUCAAUUUGGGGAUGAGGAAAAAUGACAAAAUUAAGGAGGAGAUGAGCAAAGCAAGUUGAACGGUUUCAACAAAUCUCACUAAAAUGACCAGAUUACACAGAUUCUCGGUGCAUCACACAUGGGUUGUACAUAUACAUACACCCUUUGAAUACAAAGCAAAAGUCCCAUAUCAUCAAUUUUAUAACAUAAGCAUUUUUAAUUAACUAACACAAUUUAUUUAAAAGCACAAUUUAAUUAACUAGCCGGCAGAGGUCAAUUUGUGUAGUGGCUCUAAGUUGUGUAAUCUGUGACGAAACCACAGGGCUGAUCCUAAGAAGACGACUAAUAAAGCAACAUAUGAUAAACUAAUGAAUUUUUAAGAUGGCUGAUUAAACAUAAUCAUCAAUUAAACUAUGUUGUUUAUUCUCUACAAAAUUCCAUUUUCACCAAAUAAUACUAAUUGUGAAACUUUUACUUGUAAAAUUCAAAAUUUAAGAAUAACAAAUCUAAAUUCUUAAAUAAUAGAAACAUUUUACCCAAGAACAAAUAAAAAUUAACGAGCACAAACUUAGGUUUGCAGUUGCAGUGCAGCAUAAUUUAGUUAAUUUCAUAUUUCAUAGAAUAGGGACGAUCGAAUGGAGGGCCAGGGACCAAAUUGAAUAUCUGAACAAGAUUUUUUGAGAUAUUAAAAAUAAAAUAAAACUUAAAAAUUCUAACAUACCUUCACCUUGGGACAAUGGAGAAGAGACGAAGAGGAGAUGAUUAGUAAUGGGACUUUCAUUUAUGGGUUGGACUUGGAGAUUGAGGAAAAUUGGAUUUACCCCCGUGGUUAGAACAGAUGAUGGUAAGGAGAUGGAUUAGGUUUUGGGACUGGGAUUGGGAAUUUGGACCAAGACAUUUAGUUCCCGUUUGGCCCCUCAUUUUUUUU
This 1778-nucleotide long non-coding RNA is filed under the name Olea europaea (common olive). RNAcentral's name for it is "long non-coding RNA (OEUR_LNC002748)". Lineage: Eukaryota; Viridiplantae; Streptophyta; Magnoliopsida; Lamiales; Oleaceae. The record is from RNAcentral.